Molecule: ribosomal RNA, 239 nt
Filed under: uncultured bacterium
Lineage: Bacteria
Description: partial 16S ribosomal RNA
Rfam family: Bacterial small subunit ribosomal RNA
Source: RNAcentral
GAUCAUGGCUCAGGACGAACGCUGGCGGCGCGCCUAACGCAUGCAAGUCGAACGAAGAUUACAGGCGGAAGUUUUCGGAUGGAAGCUUGUAAACUUAGUGGCGGACGGGUGAGUAACACGUGAGCAACCUGCCUAUCAGAGGGGGGAUAACGAUUGGAAACGAUCGCUAAUACCGCAUGACAUAGCGGAACCGCAUGGUUCUGUUAUCAAAGAUUUUAUCGCUGAUAGAUGGGCUCGCG